GGGCAAUCUGAGCUUACGCUCUAUACCCUUUGUGACAUACCUAUAACUGUUGCUUCGGCGGGUAGGGUCUCCGCGACCCUCCCGGCCUCCCGCCUCCGGGCGGGUCGGCGCCCGCCGGAGGAUAACCAAACUCUGAUUUAACGACGUUUCUUCUGAGUGGUACAAGCAAAUAAUCAAAACUUUUAACAACGGAUCUCUUGGUUCUGGCAUCGAUGAAGAACGCAGCGAAAUGCGAUAAGUAAUGUGAAUUGCAGAAUUCAGUGAAUCAUCGAAUCUUUGAACGCACAUUGCGCCCGCCAGCAUUCUGGCGGGCAUGCCUGUUCGAGCGUCAUUUCAACCCUCAAGCUCUGCUUGGUGUUGGGGCCCUACAGCUGAUGUAGGCCCUCAAAGGUAGUGGCGGACCCUCCCGGAGCCUCCUUUGCGUAGUAACUUUACGUCUCGCACUGGGAUCCGGAGGGACUCUUGCCGUAAAACCCCCCAAUUUUCCAAAGGUUGACCUCGGAUCAGGUAGGAAUACCCGCUGAACUUAAGCAUAUCAAAAGGCCGGAGGAA
Molecule: ribosomal RNA, 552 nt
Filed under: Colletotrichum sp. T21
Lineage: Eukaryota; Fungi; Ascomycota; Sordariomycetes; Glomerellales; Glomerellaceae
Description: eukaryotic LSU rRNA
Rfam family: 5.8S ribosomal RNA (bases 178-331)
Source: RNAcentral